UGGGGAAUAUUGGACAAUGGGCGAAAGCCUGAUCCAGCCAUGCCGCGUGUGUGAAGAAGGUCUUCGGAUUGUAAAGCACUUUAAGUUGGGAGGAAGGGCAGUAAGCGAAUACCUUGCUGUUUUGACGUUACCGACAGAAUAAGCACCGGCUAACUCUGUGCCAGCAGCCGCGGUAAUACAGAGGGUGCAAGCGUUAAUCGGAAUUACUGGGCGUAAAGCGCGCGUAGGUGGUUCGUUAAGUUGAAUGUGAAAGCCCCGGGCUCAACCUGGGAACUGCAUCCAAAACUGGCGAGCUAGAGUAGGGCAGAGGGUGGUGGAAUUUCCUGUGUAGCGGUGAAAUGCGUAGAUAUAGGAAGGAACACCAGUGGCGAAGACGACCACCUGGGCUCAUACUGACACUGAGGUGCGAAAGCGUGGGGAGCAAACAGG
RNAcentral lists this ribosomal RNA (429 nucleotides) under Pseudomonadota bacterium. Its description in RNAcentral is "Proteobacteria bacterium partial 16S ribosomal RNA". It matches the Rfam family "Bacterial small subunit ribosomal RNA", at positions 355 to 776 of the family's 1533-position model. The record is from RNAcentral. Lineage: Bacteria; Pseudomonadati; Pseudomonadota.